UGCGGGGUGACCCUGUGUUCGACACA
This 26-nucleotide small RNA is filed under the name Bombyx mori (domestic silkworm). RNAcentral's name for it is "ovarian small RNA-33988". The record is from RNAcentral. Lineage: Eukaryota; Metazoa; Arthropoda; Insecta; Lepidoptera; Bombycidae.